UGAGUAAGUCAGAUAGUCGCUGCUGAUCAAGGUCAGGAGAGGAAAGUCCGAGCUCCAUAGGGCAGGGUGCUGGGUAACUCCCAGUGGAGGCGACUCUAAGGAAAGUGCAACAGAGAUAUACCGCCAAAGUUUUUUUGGUAAGGGUGGAAAGGCGAGGUAAGAGCUCACCAGCGCAUAGGUGACUAUGCGGCUAUGUAAACCCCACUUGGAGCAAGAUCGAAUAGGAAGACAUAUGGGGCGGCCCGUCCCGUCUUCGGGUGUAUCGCUUGAGUUUAUUGGUAACAAUAGGCCUAGAUAGAUGACUAUCAAAUACAGAACUCGGCUUAUAGACUUAUCUCGUAUA
RNAcentral lists this RNase P RNA (343 nucleotides) under Hathewaya limosa. Its description in RNAcentral is "RNase P class A". It matches the Rfam family "Bacterial RNase P class A". From Rfam's summary of the family: Ribonuclease P (RNase P) is a ubiquitous endoribonuclease, found in archaea, bacteria and eukarya as well as chloroplasts and mitochondria. The record is from RNAcentral. Lineage: Bacteria; Bacillati; Bacillota; Clostridia; Eubacteriales; Clostridiaceae.